This 255-nucleotide ribosomal RNA is filed under the name Triticum aestivum (bread wheat). RNAcentral describes it as "partial small subunit ribosomal RNA". Lineage: Eukaryota; Viridiplantae; Streptophyta; Magnoliopsida; Poales; Poaceae. The record is from RNAcentral.
AUGAGAAUCAUGCUGGAUACAGGCAUUUAGGAAUACAGGAACCUGAUACAUCCAAGUACCCACAACAUUCGAUUUGGAGGCAGUUUUGGCUGUGUAGUGAGCAGCCAUUUCGGCCUCUCUUCUAACAUGAGUAAGCUCAAAAGAUAUACACUCCAUAAUAAGAUCUUGGAUUUGAUACAACAUAGGGAGCAUACACGAUCUAUUAACGUUCCUGCUACUCCACAAACUAAUCAACAUAGGCAAGAGUUUCCAUAA